GCUGGGCAUGGUGGUGGGUGCCUGUAAUCCCAGCUACUUGGGAGGCUGAGGCAGGAGAAUUGCUUGAACCUGGGAGGCAGUGGUUGCAGUGAGUCAAGAUUGAGCCACUGCACUCCAGCCUGGGCAACAGAGUGAGACCCUGUCUCUA
Callithrix jacchus (white-tufted-ear marmoset) is the source of this 148-nucleotide unclassified non-coding RNA. It matches the Rfam family "Metazoan signal recognition particle RNA". Rfam says of the family: The signal recognition particle (SRP) is a universally conserved ribonucleoprotein. Lineage: Eukaryota; Metazoa; Chordata; Mammalia; Primates; Cebidae. The record is from Ensembl.